Long non-coding RNA from Priapulus caudatus, 1149 nucleotides. RefSeq lists it as uncharacterized. The transcript is spliced from 2 exons. Lineage: Eukaryota; Metazoa; Priapulida; Priapulimorpha; Priapulimorphida; Priapulidae. The record is from RefSeq and is a predicted model, not a curated record.
GGAGCGUCGAGUUGCUGAAAAUCAAACAAGUUUGAUUUCUUGCAACUCGCGCGUUCAAGCAACCAGAAUCGCUAUGGGUUGCAGUUGCACGUUCCCGCAGACAGCGAUUUCAUUUCACAGCAAUUUCGACUGCGAUUCUAGAAUCGCAGCCGAGUUGCAUGAAAAAGUCGCAAGUCUGCGCUAGGCUAUAGCCUGAGUGUAUGAUGUUCGAUGGCUGGUCGGGUAGAUGUUGGUAGAUGGUUGGGCUUCACCGUUGAUUCUCUCUUCAGCAUCCCGCCACGUGGCAACGAUGUCCUAGGCGGCCGGAUAAGUUGCGGGGAAAGUGCAAUAUUUCUCUUAUCGUUCACUCUCGAAAUAACUUCAUAGUUUGGGGGGACUGGCCAAGUUUCUCUAUCGUUCACUCCCGAAAUAACUUCAUAGUUUGGGGGGACUGGCCAGGUUUCUCUGUCGUUCACUCCCGAAAUAACUUCAUAGUUUGGGGGGACUGGCCAGGUUUCUCUGUCGUUCACUCGCGAAAUAACUUCAUAGUUUGGGGGGACUGGCCAGGUUUCUCUGUCGUUCACUCGCGAAAUAACUUCAUAGUUUGGGGGGACUGGCCAGGUUUCUCUGUCGUUCACUCCAGAAAUAACUUCAUAGUUUGGGGGGACUGGCCGGGUUUCUCUGUCGUUCACUAGCCGGAUUGCAUCAUGCGUGGCUGAUGUUGUGGCUGAUGUUCCUGUCACUCGUCCUCUGUUGUGUAAUUUACCAGUUUGAUAAGCAGUGGGCGGACGUGGCGCUCUGACGUGGCACGUACGCACGCAGCCGUGCGACAUGUCUGGCUUCAUUGAUUGCCACGUGACAUUGGCAGGUACUUACAUGUCGCCUCUCGAAAAUAACUCGCCGCACUCGCAGGCGCACAUGCGAAUACGCACGUACGUGCAAGCCCGUACGUACGCACGCACGCAUGCUCGCUCGUCGCCGUGCUUAUGAUGGCUGGUAUUUUGAUUGGCACGUUGUGCGGAGGAAGGGGAGCGCUGCCGUUAUAUGGUUAGCCGUGUAUAAAUGAAUUUUUGAUUUCAGCAGCGUGACUUGUAGAGCUUGCGCGUGUAUUAUAUUGACUUGGAGACGACAAUGUUUUGACGUAAUAAAGGACGAUAUUUGUCAAGUUCA